GGAGAUCACUGCUAUUGGGGUUCGACUAAGCCAUGCGAGUCCAGAGUGGUAAUGCACUCGGCAAACGGCUCAGUAACACGUGGGUAACCUACCCUUAGGACAGGAAUAACCCCGGAAAACUGGGGAUAAUGCCUGAUAGGUGGAGAAGUCUGGAACGGCUCUCCGCUCAAAUGCUCCGGCGCCUGAGGAUAGGCCUGCGACCGAUUAGGUUGUUGGUGGUGUAAUGGACCACCAAGCCUGAGAUCGGUACGGGCACUGAGAGGUGUAGCCCGGAGAUGGGGACUGAGACACGGCCCCAGGCCCUACGGGGCGCAGCAGGCGCGAAAACUCCGCAAUACACGAAAGUGUGACGGGGGAACCCCGAGUGCACUCACGCAAGUGAGUGCUUUUGUGAAGUGUAAAUAGCUUUAUGAAUAAGAGCUGGGUAAGACCGGUGCCAGCCGCCGCGGUAACACCGGCAGCUCGAGUGGUGAUCACUAUUAUUGGGCCUAAAGCGUCCGUAGCCGGUUUGGUAAGUCCUUGGGCAAAUCCUGUCGCUUAACGGCAGGAAUUCUGAGGAUACUGUCAGACUUGAGGCCGAGAGAGGUCGGAGGUACUUCUGGGGUAGCGGUGAAAUGCUAUAAUCCUAGAGGGACCACCGGUGGCGAAGGCGUCCGACUAGAGCGGGCCUGACGGUAAGGGACGAAAGCCAGGGGA
RNAcentral lists this ribosomal RNA (696 nucleotides) under uncultured archaeon. Its description in RNAcentral is "bacterial SSU rRNA". It matches the Rfam family "Archaeal small subunit ribosomal RNA", at positions 19 to 718 of the family's 1478-position model. The record is from RNAcentral.